Molecule: ribosomal RNA, 306 nt
Filed under: uncultured bacterium
Lineage: Bacteria
Description: partial 16S ribosomal RNA
Rfam family: Bacterial small subunit ribosomal RNA
Source: RNAcentral
GACAGCAGCAGCCGCGGUAAUACGAAGGGUGCAAGCGUUACUCGGAAUUACUGGGCGUAAAGCGUGCGUAGGUGGUGGUUUAAGUCCGUUGUGAAAGCCCUGGGCUCAACCUGGGAAUUGCAGUGGAUACUGGGUCACUAGAGUGUGGUAGAGGAUAGUGGAAUUUCCGGUGUAGCAGUGAAAUGCGUAGAGAUCGGAAGGAACAUCUGUGGCGAAGGCGACUAUCUGGGCCAACACUGACACUGAGGCACGAAAGCGUGGGGAGCAAACAGGAUUAGAGACCCCUGUAGUCCCUGUCUCUUAUAC